Molecule: ribosomal RNA, 255 nt
Filed under: uncultured bacterium
Lineage: Bacteria
Description: partial 16S ribosomal RNA
Source: RNAcentral
CUGCUGCCUCCCGUAGGAGUCUGGGCCGUGUCUCAGUCCCAAUGUGGCCGUUCACCCUCUCAGGCCGGCUACUGAUCGUCGCCUUGGUGGGCUUUUACCUCACCAACUAGCUAAUCAGACGCGGAACCAUCGUAUACCACCGGAGUUUUUCACACUGCUUCAUGCGAAGCUGUGCGCUUAUGCGGUAUUAGCACCUAUUUCUAAGUGUUAUCCCCCAGUAUACGGCAGGUUUUCCACGCGUUACUCACCCGUCCG